This 492-nucleotide ribosomal RNA is filed under the name uncultured bacterium. Its description in RNAcentral is "partial 16S ribosomal RNA". It matches the Rfam family "Bacterial small subunit ribosomal RNA", at positions 28 to 507 of the family's 1533-position model. The record is from RNAcentral.
GAUGAACGCUGGCGGCGUGCCUAACACAUGCAAGUCGAACGGAAAGACAGUAAGCUUGUGCUCUUACCGUUAGCGAGUGGCGGGUGGGUAACGCGUGCAUCGCAAUCUUCUAUUUCGGGGAUGAUUACGGAAGACAGGUUACGCUAAUAGCGCAUAUGAUGUACCGGUGAGUGCAGUGGAUCAUCACGGCUUUCGCGAUUCUAUGAGCCGAUGUCGGAUUAGCUAGUUGGGUGGGUAAAGGCCUACCAAGGCGACGAUGCGUAGCUGAUCUGAGAGGAUGAUCGGCCACACUGGAACUGAGACACGGUCCAGACUCCUACGGGAGGCAGCAGUGGGGAAUCUUGGGCAAUGGGCGAAAGCCUGACCCAGCCACACCGCGUGGGUGAAGAAGGUCUUCGGGUCGUAAAGCUCUGUUGUUGGGGAAGAACAGCUGUGGGUUGAAACAUGGCCGUUUUGACGGUACCUAAUGAAUAAGCACCGGCUAACUACGUG